UACGUAGGGGGCAAGCGUUGUUCGGAUUUAUUGGGCGUAAAGAGCUCGUAGGCGGUUCCGUAAGUCGAGUGUGAAAAAUCUGGGCUCAACCCAGUGGAGCACUCGAUACUGCGGUGACUGGAGUACGGUAGAGGAGUGUGGAAUUCCUGGUGUAGCGGUGAAAUGCGCAGAUAUCAGGAGGAACACCGACGGCGAAGGCAGCACUCUGGGCCGGUACUGGCGCUGAGGAGCGAAAGCGUGGGGAGCAAACAGG
This 253-nucleotide ribosomal RNA is filed under the name uncultured bacterium. RNAcentral's name for it is "partial 16S ribosomal RNA". It matches the Rfam family "Bacterial small subunit ribosomal RNA", at positions 524 to 776 of the family's 1533-position model. The record is from RNAcentral.